Long non-coding RNA from Neofelis nebulosa (Clouded leopard), 2654 nucleotides. RefSeq lists it as uncharacterized. Lineage: Eukaryota; Metazoa; Chordata; Mammalia; Carnivora; Felidae. The transcript has 4 exons. The record is from RefSeq and is a predicted model, not a curated record.
GCAAAGCCGUCGAAGAGGGCCGUUGGGUUCAGGCGCGAGGCCGUCGGGACCUCAGAAUCAGCGUGGCCCGGCCCCUGUGAGGGUGUGCGCGCCGCUGGUCUCAGAGGCCGUGGGGUGAGAUGCCAGACGGCGCUCGGCGAGACAGAGGUUUCCCGGAAUCGUAUUUGGGGGCUCAACCAAAAUAGAACCUACCUCUGAGGAUUAUUCUGAAGAUUAGACGAAAUAACAUAUGUAAAAUGCCUGGCACAGAGCCAUCUUCUACUCAAAAGCCACUCUGAAAAGUGAAUUUGGAUAAAGCCUGAAGCUUACUAUAAUCCAAAUACAACAAAAAGACAUAUAGCAAAGGGGACCUACCAAACUGAAAGGAAGAGAAAGGUUUUGUCUGUAUAAUUGAGAAAGAGCCACAAAUUUAUGUUUUCACAUUUAAAAGAUUUUUAGAUGUAUUUGACUACCAAAUCCUUUUGGCCUCAGAGGGUCUAAAGAGACUUUUGUGUCAUGGAUCAUGCUUUGAAGAAAACUACUAUUUGCAGUUACCACCUGACCAUUAGUGGGAUAGCAUACUUCCACUGGAGAAAGUCAUUUGAAUGCUGUCUCAUCACAUUCACCUCCACCAAUGAGUCUUCCUUAUUCCUUCUGUUCCUCCUUCACUGACAAGGGAACCUUCUACAUAUUGCCACAGAAGUCAACACAUAUCUGGAUCAUAACAUAUUUAUUUAUUAAUGUUUUUCUUGCUCUUUAUUUGUCUCUUAUACAGAUUAAUACAGUGCCUAACAGGAAGAUACUCAAAUAUUUGUUGAAUGGCUAUCAAAUGAGUGAGAAGUACUGGAAAAAAAGAUAAAUACAAUCAGAACAAUUUCUUUGUUGCAGAUAUGCCUUAGGGUUCCUCAUAGGACUCCAGGUUGUAGAAAGAUAAAAAGGACUCUCUCCCCACUCCCCACCAUUGACACACCCACUAGGCAAACACCUAUUCCAUAUUCUUUUGUCCAGGCAACCUUAAUCAUUACCAAGAGCUCCUGUGAGUGGAACCAUAGCUAUAUAAUUCUAUUGGAUUGUUUCCAUAAGGUUUUAGCUCAAGAAAGAAAACAUGACUAGGGAAAGGAAUCCUUAAUUACAUCUUAAAAAUAUGAUCAAAAGCAACAUUUAAGAAAAGUGUUUCCAGGGAAGAGCCGAGGAUGACACCCGGUUUUAUAGUAAUUCAUUUUCCCAAACCUCAGAGCAUGUGAUCAAAGCUGAUAUACAUUAUCUCAGGCUUGGUACCAGGGUGACUCUUUUUUUUUUUUUUUCUUACUUUUCUUGAAGUUUUUAUUCGAAUGAAUAAAUAGAUGAGGAAGAGCCAAACCUGGGCCAGCCAGGUGUAGACUCUGAGAGUCCUGCUGCCUGAUCUAUAAUAAUACUUCCUCCCCUCUCUUUUUUAAUGAAGAAGCUGUGGCCUUUAGCACCUUGAAAUGCUAUCAUGCAAUUCAGGUCCUUUUGAAUCAGGAUAGGAAUAAUAGCAUGUUAAAUAAUAGCAUGUUAAAACUUGUAAGAGGAGGACAAUGAAACCUCCUCAUUAAAUGUGGAGGAGGUUGCAAACAGAUUAGUUAUUAGGCAAAUCAGUGUGAUACAAGUCCUCCUGACAACCUGUGUGCUCAGUGCUGGGAUCAUUCAGUUAAUCUGGGCCAGGGAUUUAAAAGAUUCAAACCCAGUAAGGCUUCAGCUCUAACCAGUUAAUCCUCCUUCCUACCAUACCACCAGAGGAGGAAAUAAAAGUAUGAAGUUUCUAAUUCCUUCUCCCUCCUCCCGUAAGUUGUGCUAACGCUGAUUCAUUGAUAAUUGUUGGCACAUCUCCAAGGAAGACUGAAAAUUUCCUAAAUUCACUGGCAUUUUUGGAUGAGGAUAAUGAAAACUUCCUAGUGUAGAAUCUGAAUAAAGACAUAAGAAGCAGUAUAUUUGCCUGAGGACCUGAUGGUGUGGUGACAAUUCUAAACAUUUUACAAAGUUUAUGUACGUCUCAUCUGUUUAUGCAAGAGGAAUUCCCCUCCCCCUCCCAUAAGUUUGCAGUUUAGAGAAAGUAGAGGGCAGGCCUAGGAUCAAUCAUUGGAAAGUGCAGCUAGCAAAAGUCUUGAUUAUAAGACUUUUAUAACAUUCAGAGUUAUCAACAACGCAACCUAUGGCUUCACAGAAGAGUGAGUGCUUCUCCAGUUAAUACUAUAUGAAAGAUGGACAAAGACAUUUCUAAAGUUCCUUCCAAACCAAAGAUGCUGCUAUUCUUGAAGCAUAAUGAAGACCACACCUUUGAAAAUAUGCUGGCUGUCCUGACUAGCAAACUAGUGUCCCAUCAGCUCUGGUUCUUACCUUCUUUGAUAAGUCAUGUUUCUUUAUUCAUUGGUUCUGAGAACCUGAGAGGGAGGUAAGGUUGAAAUGCAGAAAAAACAUAAUACCUCCUGAGCAACUGAAACAUCUUGAACUCAUAUUCACUGUUGGACAUUUUAACAGAAAAUUUAAAAGUUGCUCUCUGUUUCCAAAAGAAGGAACCAUGUUGGAAUACCAGAGCUGUGAGAAUCCCUAUUAUGAGAAGAAAUCUGAUUGGGAAUCAUCAUAUUACUCCACAAAACCAAGUUUCAGCCUUAUUAAGUAUUCUAAGAAGGGCCUAAAAAAUAAAUUUUGAUCCAAUG